Molecule: ribosomal RNA, 253 nt
Filed under: uncultured bacterium
Lineage: Bacteria
Description: partial 16S ribosomal RNA
Rfam family: Bacterial small subunit ribosomal RNA
Source: RNAcentral
UACGGGGGGGGCAAGCGUUGUUCGGAAUUACUGGGCGUAAAGGGCUCGUAGGCGGCCAACUAAGUCGGAUGUGAAAUCCCCAGGCUUAACCUGGGAACUGCAUCCGAUACUGGAUGGCUUGAAUCCGGGAGAGGGAUGUAGAAUUCCAGGUGUAGCGGUGAAAUGCGUAGAUAUCUGGAGGAAUACCGGUGGCGAAGGCGGCAUCCUGGACCAUAACUGACGCUGAGGCGCGAAAGCUAGGGGAGCAAACGGG